This 253-nucleotide ribosomal RNA is filed under the name uncultured bacterium. Its description in RNAcentral is "partial 16S ribosomal RNA". It matches the Rfam family "Bacterial small subunit ribosomal RNA", at positions 524 to 776 of the family's 1533-position model. The record is from RNAcentral.
UACGGGGGGGGCAAGCGUUGUUCGGAAUUACUGGGCGUAAAGGGCUCGUAGGCGGCCAACUAAGUCAGACGUGAAAUCCCUCGGCUUAACCGGGGAACUGCGUCUGAUACUGGAUGGCUUGAGAUUGGGAGAGGGAUGCGGAAUUCCAGGUGUAGCGGUGAAAUGCGUAGAUAUUGGGAGGAACACCAGUGGCGAAGGCGGCUACCUGGACCGGUUCUGACGCUGAGGCGCGAAAGCGUGGGUAGCAAACAGG